GAUGAAGAACGUAGCGAAAUGCGAUAAGUAAUGUGAAUUGCAGAAUUCAGUGAAUCAUCGAAUCUUUGAACGCACAUUGCGCCCGCCAGUAUUCUGGCGGGCAUGCCUGUCUGAGCGUCAUUUCAACCCUCAUGCCCCUAGGGCGUGGUGUUGGGGAUCGGCCAAAGCCCGCGAGGGACGGCCGGCCCCUAAAUCUAGUGGCGGACCCGUCGUGGCCUCCUCUGCGAAGUAGUGAUAUUCCGCAUCGGAGAGCGACGAGCCCCUGCCGUUAAACCCACAACUUUCCAAGGUUGACCUCAGAUCAGGUAGGAAUACCCGAUGAACUUAAGCAUAUCAAUAAGCGGAGGA
RNAcentral lists this unclassified non-coding RNA (348 nucleotides) under soil metagenome. RNAcentral describes it as "partial contains 5.8S ribosomal RNA, internal transcribed spacer 2, and large subunit ribosomal RNA". The stretch from base 1 to 120 matches the Rfam family "5.8S ribosomal RNA", at positions 35 to 154 of the family's 154-position model. The record is from RNAcentral.